UGAGAGGCGUCUGGUUGGAUUUCAACUAGCUGGUUGGAGAGCUUCAGGGGUAAAAUGGGAGAGCUAUUGGUUCUUCAAUGUCUACAUCUGGAGGCUUUUACUGUUUUACACAGCCAUAGUUCACCGACUUCAGUUUUGGCUUCCAUUCUUCACCGACUUCCUUGCCUUCUUAUCUUUCGAUUCGAAGAUCAAUUUCCAUCUAAACUCAUCUUCGUCUGCUGCUCGCCUGGCCUUGGCCUCUGAUCAGGUGAUUUUAUCAUUAAGAUGCCAAUGUUGACUGCUCCAAGUACAAUUGUUAGCUCGCCUCUAUUGCCAACAGAUUUUGAAAUGAGGUAUUUCUUCCAUCAGUUUGUGUUUUCAUUGUUUACCGACUUCCUUGCCUUCGUCUUUUUCAUCGCUAUGAUCUUCCUCUUAUCUUCCAAGGUGCUCACUUUCCGACUCACUUGGGUUCUAUCAGGAAGGGGAUUGAAUCUCACAUAUUAGCUCAGCUGCACCCAGAAAACUAUCUGAGAAGAUAAUCUGCAGAGCAGGGGACUUGCAAUCUACUGAGGUUAAGUAUCUUUGAAACCACUCCAAGGACCUCCUCUCCUUUGAGUUGUAGUUUCAUUUAAGUUGCCAAAAACUCCUGCAGUAACUUUGAUACCUCGCCAGCUACAUGUUCCAAUGGAUCUUUUUUUGCUUCACAGUUUCUUAGGUUCCAUUCAUUUUGGUAUUUAUUUUGGUGUGAUAUAUUUCUCUUAGGGUGUGUCAAAUGGUAAAGCUGCAAGUAAACCAUCUAUUGAUAAUAAUAAAAAUGAGCUUUCUAACCCUAAACCCUCUAAUAUCUGAGUAUGUUGUUGAAUCUAUUGGGUGUUUUGUUGAGGUUAAUUUUAGGGUACAGCAAUGGAUUGAAACAUCUGAGCAUGUUGUUGAAUGUUUUGAGUGUUUUGAGACUGAUGGAGAGAGAAAAACAGAGGAAAAUAGUAUCUGAAUACAGUUUUUUUUUUCAAUUACUUAUAAGAUUUCUUCAUAUAAAACCCUUUGUUUAAUAUCAGUUUCUAUUGAGCUCCCUUAGUUUUUGGUGGAUGUUGGUGUGUAAGUGUGUGUUCUUCCUGUUAUUCACACUGAACCCAUUUUUCUGGAAGGCCAUAACGGUAUAAAGUAGGUAUAAAUUAGGUAUAAAUUAGGUCAAAAUGCUUCUGUAGAGGACUGUUCUGUAUGUAUGGAAUUUUGAUCUUUGUGGAAAUAUGAAUGGUAUGUUAGAAAGUGAAUUCAUAUAGACCGUAUAGUUGGAAUUUUGAGUUCUUAGGUUUAUUUUUGUGCAAAGUCUUCUGUUAGAAGAUUCAUUGAAGAGCCAUUUCUUUCCUUUUUCAGUCCCUCUUUUAUCACUUGAAAGGCUAAAGUACCUGCAAAGGCAUGAAUUCUUGCAGGAAUUAUAGCUCAUGAGAGCAAUACUUUUUUUUAUAUAAAUCUAUUUAAAGGAUGAGACAUAGAAGGAUCUUUGAAAAUUAUGGUCUGGAAUGGAUAUUUUGCAGACCAAAGUUUGAGAGGUCUGUCAUUGGGAAUGCAUAAUUGUAUCCAAAAGCUUCCCGUGAUGAAUUUUUGGUCAAACUCAUAAAGAAAGAACAUUUAAAUUCGUAAAGAAGGGGUAGUGUUCAACCUAUUUCCCAAGUUAUUAUUUCAAAUCUUUGCCCUUCCAAGUUUUAAAGGUUUAAAUUGUUUGUUAGGGUUUCUCAAUUUGAGUGUUUGAUUUACGAAUUUUAAUUCUUCUCUCUUUCUAAGUUUGAAAACUACCUUCAUUAUCUGGUUGGAGUUGUUGAUACAACCAGAACCAGAUUUUAAAUUCAGUUGGGAUUGUUGGGAGAUAAGAAUGGGAGAUUUUUUUUGGCUGGCUCUUUGUCAGUUGGGAUUUGUUUUUCUUUUCUUUUCUUAAUGCUUCUUAAUUCCUGUUUUGCUUUAGCAAAGUGUUCAGCUCGCAUGAAUUUGAUCUUUCGGCUAAUAGAGCAUAGAAAUUAGCUUACGGCACCAUAUGAAAAUGGGUUUAAUUUUCUUUAGGUUUAUAGUGAAGAAGUCCAUCGUUUAAAAGGGUUUUUCUUCAAGAACAAACGUAUAGUGUAAUUUAAGAUAAACAAAAAGAAACUAAACUAUUUUUAUAUCACCAAAAAUUUCAGUGUCUCUGAUACCAAAUCAGACCAAAGUGAGUCAAAUUAAAGUUAGUAACCAACUGAACUUACUACAAGUGAAAUGUGUCUGAACAAUGAGUUGAGGCAAACACCAGAGGAGCCACAAUAAGUUAUUAAUUGUUCUUCAAAACAAGAAAACAAACUAAAGAAAUUAAACACAUAAUUUCAAAAGUUCAGAGUGAAUUGUGUCCUGUCUGCGUUUUUUUUUUUUAAAACUCCACAAUCAGUUUUGCCCUUGCAUGGCCCUCUGAAAUUUGGAAUUGUUCAGUUAAACCCAGAUGUGCCAUAAGAAGCCAGACAUGAGUGAGCAGCUCUCCUCCUCGCCUGAGCUUCUGAGCCUGACCACUCCAUCGACAUUGAUUGGCGGCAUAAGGGAGCAUCUCCACCCACACAUGACUUACAAACUGCCACUUUCUCCCAUUAGUCCACCCUCUAUCUGAGUCCAGGGACUGCAAGGCUUUAGCAAGCCUGCAUGCAUCAAAUAGAACUGACUUGCUUCUAUCUCCUUUCACUUUAGAUGGAAGGAUGUCUGUGCACAUAUCCAGUAGCUUUGUGCAUGCUUUCCUUUCACCCAAUUUCAUUAUUUUCUUUUCCUUGAAAAAUUCUUCAGCCUCAGCACAUGUGUCUCUAAACCUUAUCUGUCCAAUCCCAUUCAGUAGCAUGAAGGGGCACAUGACUAAUAGUUCGAUAACAGCUUACUGUCUUCACAAUUUUCACUAGGAACCGAGUUCGAGUUUCGAUUCACAUCAGAAUAAUAACAUAGAUCGGUUUGUGCAUUUGGUAUUUGUUUUUGUGUGAUAUUUUUCUCUUAGGGCGUGUCAAAUGGUAAAGCUGUUGAUUUGUUGGAAUUUAGGGUUUAUGAUUUGUUGAUUAAAUUUUGUGAUGGACCUCUUUUCCUCUCUCUGUUUGUGCAUUUGUCUUAAUCAAAUUUGUUUC
Prunus persica (peach) is the source of this 3098-nucleotide long non-coding RNA. RefSeq lists it as uncharacterized. The transcript has 4 exons. The record is from RefSeq and is a predicted model, not a curated record. Lineage: Eukaryota; Viridiplantae; Streptophyta; Magnoliopsida; Rosales; Rosaceae.